RNAcentral lists this ribosomal RNA (562 nucleotides) under uncultured bacterium. RNAcentral describes it as "bacterial SSU rRNA". It matches the Rfam family "Bacterial small subunit ribosomal RNA", at positions 355 to 896 of the family's 1533-position model. The record is from RNAcentral.
UAGGGAAUCUUCCGCAAUGGGCGAAAGCCUGACGGAGCAACGCCGCGUGAGUGAAGAAGGAUUUCGGUUCGUAAAGCUCUGUUGUUAGGGAAGAAUGAUUGUGUAGUAACUAUACACAGUAGAGACGGUACCUAACCAGAAACCAAAAGCCCCGGGUUAAUUUGGGCCCCCCCCCGCGGGGUAAUAAUANGUAGGUGGCAAGCGUUGUCCGGAAUUAUUGGGCGUAAAGCGCGCGCAGGUGGUUUAAUAAGUCUGAUGUGAAAGCCCACGGCUCAACCGUGGAGGGUCAUUGGAAACUGUUAAACUUGAGUGCAGGAGAGAAAAGUGGAAUUCCUAGUGUAGCGGUGAAAUGCGUAGAGAUUAUUAGGAGGAACACCAGUGGCGAAGGCGGCUUUUUGGCCUGUAACUGACACUGAGGCGCGAAAGCGUGGGGAGCAAACAGGAUUAGAUACCCUGGUAGUCCACGCCGUAAACGAUGAGUGCUAAGUGUUGGUCUCAUAAGAGAUCAGUGCUGCAGCUAACGCAUUAAGCACUCCGCCUGGGGAGUACGACCGCAAGGUUG